This 374-nucleotide ribosomal RNA is filed under the name uncultured organism. Its description in RNAcentral is "bacterial SSU rRNA". It matches the Rfam family "Bacterial small subunit ribosomal RNA", at positions 526 to 896 of the family's 1533-position model. The record is from RNAcentral.
CGUAGGAGACGAGCGUUAUCCGGAUUUACUGGGCGUAAAGCGCGGGUAGGUGGGGUCUUAAGUCAUGCGUGAAAGCUCUCGGCUUAACCGGGAGAGGUCGUGUGAAACUGGGAUUCUCAGAGGUAGGUAGAGGCAGAUGGAAUUCCGGGUGGAGUGGUGAAAUGCGUAGAGAUCCGGAGGAACACCAGUGGCGAAGGCGAUCUGCUAGGCCUGACCUGACACUCAGACGCGACAGCAUGGGGAGCGAACGGGAUUAGAAACCCCGGUAGUCAAUGCCGUAAACGAUGCAUACUAGACGUUAGGGAGGCAUAGCCUCUUUAGUGUCGAAGCCAACGCGAUAAGUAUGCCGCCUGGGGAGUACGAGCGCAAGCUUA